UGGUGGAGUGAUUUGUCUGGUUAAUUCCGUUAACGAACGAGACCUCAGCUUGCUAACUAGUUGGACGAAUUUUUAUUCGUCGAAACUUCUUAGAGGGACUAUGAGCGUUUAGCUCAUGGAGGUUUGAGGCAAUAACA
Molecule: ribosomal RNA, 137 nt
Filed under: uncultured eukaryote
Lineage: Eukaryota
Description: partial 18S ribosomal RNA
Rfam family: Eukaryotic small subunit ribosomal RNA
Source: RNAcentral